RNAcentral lists this long non-coding RNA (2984 nucleotides) under Salmo salar (Atlantic salmon). RNAcentral describes it as "lncRNA (ENSSSAG00000095305.1, ENSSSAG00000108837.1)". Lineage: Eukaryota; Metazoa; Chordata; Actinopteri; Salmoniformes; Salmonidae. The record is from RNAcentral.
CUGACUUAUACUCAAUGCACAAAACAUUAGGAACACCUUCCUAACAUUGAGUUGAAUCCCCCCCUUUUGCCCUCAGAACAGCCUCCAUUCAUCAGGACAUGGACUCUACAAGGUGUCGAAAGCGUUCCACAGGGAUGCUGGCCCAUGUUGACUCCAAUGCUUCCCACAGUUGUGUCAAGUUGGCUGGAUGUACUUUGGGUGGUGGACCUAUCUUGAUACACACGGGAAACUGUUGAGCGUGGAAAAACCCAGCAGCGUUGCAGUUCUUGACAAACCGGUGCGCCUGGCAUCUACUACCAUACCCCGUUCAAAGGCACUUAAAUAUUUAGUCUUGCCCACUCACCCUCUGAAUGGCACACAUACACAAUCCAUGUCUCAAUUGUCUCAAGGCUUAAAAAUCCUCCUUUAACCCGUCUCCUCCCCUUCAUCUACACUGAUUGAAGUGGAUUUAACAAGUGACCUCAAUAAGGGAUCAAAUCUUUCACCUGGGUUCAGUCUAUGUCAUGGAAAGAGCAGGUGUUCCUAAUGUUUUGUCCACUCAGUGUAGGUUUGUAAUGUAUAAAUAUUUACCGUAUACAGGUAUGUAUACUGACCGUACAUCUCCUACGUACACACAUAAUUAAACAUGAAUACUUUGUACAUAUAUAUUUAUAUAGACAUAUACAUGUACAUUCAAUGUAUAAAAGGUAACACACACCAACGUACAGUACACACUCGCUCUUCAUCAUCAUCAUCAUUCACACAAUACGACUCUGUGAGUCUAUCUUCCUUAUAUGCACACACACACACACACACACGCACACGCACACACACACAUAUACACACACACACACACCGAAAAAGAGUUGGGCUCCUAUUCAAAAACAGUGUCCAGAUUGCAAUUUGGACACUUUUCAAUGAACUGCCAAUGUGUUUUUCCAUUAAAGCUGUGGAAGAAUCUCACAUUUUUUGGGAUAAGAUGGGAGAGGAAAAGGCAUGUGGUUUGUGUCCCCAAUGGUAGCCUACUCCCUGUGUAGUGCUAUAGGGCCCCUUUGGGCCCCUGGUCAAAAGUAUAUAGGGAAUAGGCUGCCAACAGGGUUCAAUUACAGUGCCAAUAGGAUGCCGACAGGAUUCAAUUACAGUGCCAAUAGGCUGCCAAUAGGGUUCAAUUACAGUGCCAAUAGGCUGCCAAUAGGGUUCAAUUACAGUGCCAAUAGGCUGCCAACAGGGUUCAAUUACAGUGCCAAUAGGCUGCCAAUAGGGACGCAAGUCAUGGCGUUCAUUCGCUGCAAUGUCUCAUCUUCUCCUCGCAGCUCGGCGGUUCAUUUGCAUAAUAUAUUCAGGGUUCUAUUUUUUAUUUGUUUUGCUAAAUAGCAUUUCCUUUUUAUUAUAAAGCAGAAACCCUGUAAAGAGAAAGUGGUGUCUCUACAACACCACAGUCAGAGAGUCGUCGUCUCACCAGUCUGAUCUGUCACUGCAGUCAGAGAGUCGUCGUCUCACCGAGAGUCGUCGUCUCACCAGUCUGAUCUGUCACUGCAGUCAGAGAGUCGUCGUCUCACCAGUCUGAUCUGUCACUGCAGUCAGAGAGUCGUCGUCUCACCGAGAGUCGUCGUCUCACCAGUCUGAUCUGUCACUGCAGUCAGAGAGUCGUCGUCUCACCAGUCUGAUCUGUCACCGCAGUCAGAGAGUCGUCUCACCAGUCUGAUCUGUCACCGCAGUCAGAGAGUCGUCUCACCAGUCUGAUCUGUCACCGCAGUCAGAGAGUCGUCUCACCAGUCUGAUCUGUCACCACAGUCAGAGAGUCGUCUCACCAGUCUGAUCUGUCACCACAGCCAGAGUCGUCGUCUCACCAGUCUGAUCUGUCACCGCAGUCAGAGAGUCGUCUCACCAGUCUGAUCUGUCACCGCAGUCAGAGAGUCGUCUCACCAGUCUGAUCUGUCACCACAGCCAGAGAGUCGUCUCACCAGUCUGAUCUGUCACCGCAGUCAGAGAGUCGUCUCACCAGUCUGAUCUGUCACCGCAGUCGGAGAGUUGUCUCACCAGUCUGAUCUGUCACCGCAGUCAGAGAGUCGUCUCACCAGUCUGAUCUGACACCGCAGUCAGAGAGUCGUCGUCUCACCAGUCUGAUCUGACACCGCAGUCAGAGAGUCGUCUCACCAGUCUGAUCUGACACCGCAGUCAGAGAGUCGUCGUCUCACCAGUCUGAUCUGACACCGCAGUCGGAGAGUCGUCUCACCAGUCUGAUCUGUCACCGCAGUCAGAGAGUCGUCUCACCAGUCUGAUCUGUCACCGCAGUCGGAGAGUUGUCUCACCAGUCUGAUCUGUCACCGCAGUCAGAGAGUCGUCUCACCAGUCUGAUCUGACACCGCAGUCAGAGAGUCGUCGUCUCACCAGUCUGAUCUGACACCGCAGUCAGAGAGUCGUCUCACCAGUCUGAUCUGACACCGCAGUCAGAGAGUCGUCGUCUCACCAGUCUGAUCUGACACCGCAGUCGGAGAGUCGUCUCACCAGUCUGAUCUGUCACCGCAGUCAGAGAGUCGUCUCACCAGUCUGAUCUGUCACCACAGCCAGAGAGUCGUCUCACCAGUCUGAUCUGACACCGCAGUCAGAGAGUCGUCGUCUCACCAGUCUGAUCUGUCACCGCAGUCAGAGAGUCGUCUCACCAGUCUGAUCUGUCACCGCAGUCAGAGAGUCGUCGUCUCACCAGUCUGAUCUGUCACCGCAGUCGGAGAGUCGUCUCACCAGUCUGAUCUGACACCGCAGUCGGAGAGUCGUCUCACCAGUCUGAUCUGUCACCGCUGCAUGUGCUUCUAUAGACAGGGUUGUUGACAUCAAGCUUUAGAGCGCAGGUCAAGGGGUCAGAAAACAAACAUCCCAGCUUAAUGAACAGGUACAGCCAUAAUCAAGGCACAAAGAUCUACAAGUAUAUUUGUUUUUCAUUCAAUAAAGUAGUUGUACAAAAUAAUAUUACAUUUGACAGUCUGUACAGGAUAAAUCAAGAAGCC